GUAUUAUAGGUGGAAACAGACGGUUUAAUAUAAGUUCAGCCCCAUACCAAAGGAUGUAUGUUGAUAUGGAAGUCGAAAUUCACAACCUUGAGCAGGAUGCAUAUGGUGCAAUCCUUCGAGCGUUCAAAGCACAGUCUGAUGCUCUUACAUGGGAAAAGGAAAGCUUGAUAACAGAACUCAGGAAAGAGCUGAGAGUGUCAGAUGAUGAGCACAGAGACCUACUGACCAAGGUGAAUGCCGAUAACCGUAUUCAUAGUAUCAGGGAGUGGAGAAAGACCAAUGGAAACCAACCUAUUCAUGAUCAACUCCCCAGUCCAACAGUUUCUGGGUCAAGAAAGAGGGCAAAGUCACAAUCUGUGAUAAUGCCACUUGGUGCCCCGUUGGAGUCCUUGCACCAUCAGACAAUUGCAGCAAACACGCAACCUACUACUCCAGGUGCAAAAUGGGGAGCAGCACCAGGAAAUGGAGGAUUUAGGUCUAGACCUGGCCAGCAAGUGUUCUCUUCAAGGCCUGUUCAUUAUCAGCAGGCUGGUCCUGGUUCUUCAAGUGUUCUUCGUUCUGGUGAACUUGCUGAAAGACCGCGCGACCCCUUGAUUGGGAGAAGAGUGAUGACUAGGUGGCCAGAUGACAACAACUUCUACGAGGCCAUUAUAACUGACUACAGCGCUGUUGAUGGUCGGCAUGCUUUGGUGUAUGAUAUGAAUACACCAAAUGAAACUUGGGAAUGGGUUGAUCUCAAAGAGAUU
This 746-nucleotide unclassified non-coding RNA is filed under the name Hevea brasiliensis (rubber tree). Lineage: Eukaryota; Viridiplantae; Streptophyta; Magnoliopsida; Malpighiales; Euphorbiaceae. The record is from RNAcentral.